RNAcentral lists this ribosomal RNA (253 nucleotides) under uncultured bacterium. RNAcentral's name for it is "partial 16S ribosomal RNA". It matches the Rfam family "Bacterial small subunit ribosomal RNA", at positions 524 to 776 of the family's 1533-position model. The record is from RNAcentral.
UACGAAGGGGACUAGCGUUGUUCGGAAUUACUGGGCGUAAAGCGCACGUAGGCGGACAUUUAAGUCAGGGGUGAAAUCCCAGAGCUCAACUCUGGAACUGCCUUUGAUACUGGGUGUCUGGAGUAUGGAAGAGGUGAGUGGAAUUCCGAGUGUAGAGGUGAAAUUCGUAGAUAUUCGGAGGAACACCAGUGGCGAAGGCGGCUCACUGGUCCAUUACUGACGCUGAGGUGCGAAAGCGUGGGGAGCAAACAGG